This is a long non-coding RNA of Manis pentadactyla (Chinese pangolin), 1250 nucleotides long. RefSeq lists it as uncharacterized. The transcript is spliced from 4 exons. Lineage: Eukaryota; Metazoa; Chordata; Mammalia; Pholidota; Manidae. The record is from RefSeq and is a predicted model, not a curated record.
GAAAAGCAAGACCGCAAGCAGAAAAAGGUGGCCAUUGAGCCGCCUGUCUGUCUGGAGCACCAGAGCAGAGAAAGGGUUGCACUGCGCCAGGGUAUGGGAAGAUACCUAGAGAGUUCUAGAGACAUGUGUGCUAAAGAAAGACUCCAGCCAUGAAACCCUUUACCACAUGCACAGGAGAGAAUGAUUGCAUGAGGUUUUUAAAGACUUCAAGGCUGAGACGAGCCUGAAAAUUAUCCAAUUAAAGGAAGGAAGAUUGCAGACUGCUUAGUCACCUGGAGAGAGAGAGUAGCCCUUACAAAAUGAGAGGAGAUGAUUACAUUACUUAAGAGCAUUGAUCAACAUGUUUGGCAGGACAAGUGGAAAUGUUUUUCUCUUAAAUAAUUCAAGCCUGCAGGCUACCAACAGAGUUUAAGAUCGUGUAAGCGCCUGCUCUAUACAAAUGUGUGUGGUGUUCCAGUGGUGAAUGAGUAGAGUUUAAAUGAAGAGUAAGUAAAACUUACUGUCUGCAUUCAACUGAGAGUACCUGAAUAAAGCCUCUGAUGAUCAGUGGAAAGUCACUGAAGACUCCGAGCAAACAGUGCCGCCCUCCUCACCUCUCUGCUCGGAUGCCCCGCUGACGCUGGAGAUCUGACCGUACUGGUAUCCCAGUGGGGAGAGGACCUGAGUAUGCGUGGUGGAUUUGCCAGCCCAAGUACUGGGCGGUCUGUACAUGCUUCUGCUGCACCAGCGAGGCCUCUGGGCACAAGCCUGCAAGAGUCUGUCAUCAACUCAACUGCCGGGCAUCAAAGGAGAACAGUUGGGGGUCCAGACUGUUUUCCCAGGCAGGAACGAUGACGCAGUGACUGUCACAGGUUAUUUCAGAGUUCAGAAUCUCAGGUCUCCAUCCUCCAUGCCUUUCUCUGAACAGACGUGGUACGGUCCAAAGCUGGUCUGGAUUUCCCCCUGCAUUGAGGUCUACUCCAAACAAGAACAGACUUCAAAACCGAGGCCUGUUGUCCAGGAGGUUCCUUGGAAUGAAGCCAACGCGAGGCCAGGGCUCUGGAGGGUCUCCUCGGAGCAGAGGGGCCGGCGGCGGCCAGAGCCCUGGUGGCCUUUGGCUGGAAGCACUGUCCUGAUCUGCACGUCCUGUGAGUAAACCCCAGCAGGCUCAGCCCUAGGCCAGAGGGAAGUUACCCUGCUUCUCCUUGAAGAAGAACUGGAUGUACUCCCACAUCUCCCCUCCCCUCUUGCUGAUGUUAAAAAGUAGAUUC